Molecule: ribosomal RNA, 1372 nt
Filed under: uncultured bacterium
Lineage: Bacteria
Description: bacterial SSU rRNA
Rfam family: Bacterial small subunit ribosomal RNA
Source: RNAcentral
GAUGAACGCUGGCGGCGUGCCUAAUACAUGCAAGUCGAGCGAACGGACGAGAAGCUUGCUUCUCUGAUGUUAGCGGCGGACGGGUGAGUAACACGUGGAUAACCUACCUAUAAGACUGGGAUAACUUCGGGAAACCGGAGCUAAUACCGGAUAAUAUUUUGAACCGCAUGGUUCAAAAGUGAAAGACGGUCUUGCUGUCACUUAUAGAUGGAUCCGCGCUGCAUUAGCUAGUUGGUAAGGUAACGGCUUACCAAGGCAACGAUGCAUAGCCGACCUGAGAGGGUGAUCGGCCACACUGGAACUGAGACACGGUCCAGACUCCUACGGGAGGCAGCAGUAGGGAAUCUUCCGCAAUGGGCGAAAGCCUGACGGAGCAACGCCGCGUGAGUGAUGAAGGUCUUCGGAUCGUAAAACUCUGUUAUUAGGGAAGAACAUAUGUGUAAGUAACUGUGCACAUCUUGACGGUACCUAAUCAGAAAGCCACGGCUAACUACGUGCCAGCAGCCGCGGUAAUACGUAGGUGGCAAGCGUUAUCCGGAAUUAUUGGGCGUAAAGCGCGCGUAGGCGGUUUUUUAAGUCUGAUGUGAAAGCCCACGGCUCAACCGUGGAGGGUCAUUGGAAACUGGAAAACUUGAGUGCAGAAGAGGAAAGUGGAAUUCCAUGUGUAGCGGUGAAAUGCGCAGAGAUAUGGAGGAACACCAGUGGCGAAGGCGACUUUCUGGUCUGUAACUGACGCUGAUGUGCGAAAGCGUGGGGAUCAAACAGGAUUAGAUACCCUGGUAGUCCACGCCGUAAACGAUGAGUGCUAAGUGUUAGGGGGUUUCCGCCCCUUAGUGCUGCAGCUAACGCAUUAAGCACUCCGCCUGGGGAGUACGACCGCAAGGUUGAAACUCAAAGGAAUUGACGGGGACUCGCACAAGCGGUGGAGCAUGUGGUUUAAUUCGAAGCAACGCGAAGAACCUUACCAAAUCUUGACAUCCUUUGACAACUCUAGAGAUAGAGCUUUCCCCUUCGGGGGACAAAGUGACAGGUGGUGCAUGGUUGUCGUCAGCUCGUGUCGUGAGAUGUUGGGUUAAGUCCCGCAACGAGCGCAACCCUUAAGCUUAGUUGCCAUCAUUAAGUUGGGCACUCUAAGUUGACUGCCGGUGACAAACCGGAGGAAGGUGGGGAUGACGUCAAAUCAUCAUGCCCCUUAUGAUUUGGGCUACACACGUGCUACAAUGGACAAUACAAAGGGCAGCGAAACCGUGAGGUCAAGCAAAUCCCAUAAAGUUGUUCUCAGUUCGGAUUGUAGUCUGCAACUCGACUACAUGAAGCUGGAAUCGCUAGUAAUCGUAGAUCAGCAUGCUACGGUGAAUACGUUCCCGGGUCU